CAAAAACAUAGCUUUUUGUUAUAAAUAAAAAGUAGGGUCUGCCCAGUGAGUAAUUUUAACGGCCGCAAUAUUUGUGCGAAGGUAGCAUAAUCAUUUGUCUUUUAAUUGAUGACUGGAAUGAAUGGCUGGACGGGGAUAAGCUGUCUUAUAUAUAUAUAUUUGAAAUUUACUUUUAAGUAAAAAGGCUUAAAUGGUUUAGAGGGACGAGAAGACCCUAUUGAGUUUAAUAGAAUUUAUUUAAAUUUUUCUUAAAUUUUUAUAUAAUCUAUUUAGUUGGGGAGAUUUGAUAUUAUUAACUAUAUAAGAAUUAAUAGACUUUAAGUUUUUAGGAUCCAUAUUUAAUGAUUACUAAGAUAAAUUACCUUAGGGAUAACAGCGUAAUAUUUUUUUAGAGUUCAAAUCGAUUAAAAUGAUUACGACCUCAGUGUUGGAUUAGAGAACCUAAUUUGGAGAAGAUUUUAAUUUAGGUAGUCUGUUCGACUAUUAAAUCUUUAC
RNAcentral lists this ribosomal RNA (495 nucleotides) under Nymphon sp. 1 ARM-2007. RNAcentral describes it as "partial 16S ribosomal RNA". It matches the Rfam family "Bacterial large subunit ribosomal RNA", at positions 1808 to 2599 of the family's 2925-position model. The record is from RNAcentral. Lineage: Eukaryota; Metazoa; Arthropoda; Pycnogonida; Pantopoda; Nymphonidae.